AAACUAACAAGGAUUCCCCUAGUAACGGCGAGUGAACCGGGAAGAGCUCAAAUUUGAAAUCUGGCGUCCUCAGGGCGUCCGAGUUGUAAUCUAUAGAGGCGUUUUCCGUGCCGGACCGUGUCCAAGUUCCUUGGAACAGGAUAUCAAAGAGGGUGACAAUCCCGUACUUGACACGAUGACCGGUGCUCUGUGAUACGUCUUCUACGAGUCGAGUUGUUUGGGAAUGCAGCUCAAAAUGGGUGGUGAGUUCCAUCUAAAGCUAAAUAUUGGCGAGAGACCGAUAGCGAACAAGUACCGUGAGGGAAAGAUGAAAAGCACUUUGGAAAGAGAGUUAAACAGUACGUGAAAUUGUUGAAAGGGAAACGAUUGAAGUCAGUCGUGACUGAGAGGCUCAGCCGGUUCUGCCGGUGUAUUCCCCUCAGUCGGGUCAACAUCAGUUUUGUCCGGUGGAAAAGGGCGGUAGGAACGUGGCACCUCCGGGUGUGUUAUAGCCUGCCGUCGCAUACAUCGGGUGAGACUGAGGAAUGCAGCUCGCCUUUAUGGCCGGGGUUCGCCC
RNAcentral lists this ribosomal RNA (556 nucleotides) under Papiliotrema rajasthanensis. Its description in RNAcentral is "LSU rRNA". It matches the Rfam family "Eukaryotic large subunit ribosomal RNA", at positions 62 to 632 of the family's 3401-position model. The record is from RNAcentral. Lineage: Eukaryota; Fungi; Basidiomycota; Tremellomycetes; Tremellales; Rhynchogastremaceae.